Molecule: ribosomal RNA, 464 nt
Filed under: Staphylococcus aureus
Lineage: Bacteria; Bacillati; Bacillota; Bacilli; Caryophanales; Staphylococcaceae
Description: partial 23S ribosomal RNA
Rfam family: Bacterial large subunit ribosomal RNA
Source: RNAcentral
GGAUAAAAGCUACCCCGGGGAUAACAGGCUUAUCUCCCCCAAGAGUUCACAUCGACGGGGAGGUUUGGCACCUCGAUGUCGGCUCAUCGCAUCCUGGGGCUGUAGUCGGUCCCAAGGGUUGGGCUGUUCGCCCAUUAAAGCGGUACGCGAGCUGGGUUCAGAACGUCGUGAGACAGUUCGGUCCCUAUCCGUCGUGGGCGUAGGAAAUUUGAGAGGAGCUGUCCUUAGUACGAGAGGACCGGGAUGGACAUACCUCUGGUGUACCAGUUGUCGUGCCAACGGCAUAGCUGGGUAGCUAUGUGUGGACGGGAUAAGUGCUGAAAGCAUCUAAGCAUGAAGCCCCCCUCAAGAUGAGAUUUCCCAACUUCGGUUAUAAGAUCCCUCAAAGAUGAUGAGGUUAAUAGGUUCGAGGUGGAAGCAUGGUGACAUGUGGAGCUGACGAAUACUAAUCGAUCGAAGACUUA